UGGGGAAUUUUGGACAAUGGGGGAAACCCUGAUCCAGCCAUCCCGCGUGUGCGAUGAAGGCCUUCGGGUUGUAAAGCACUUUUGGCAGGAAAGAAACGUCAUGGGUUAAUACCCCGUGAAACUGACGGUACCUGCAGAAUAAGCACCGGCUAACUACGUGCCAGCAGCCGCGGUAAUACGUAGGGCGCAAGCGUUAAUCGGAAUUACUGGGCGUAAAGCGUGCGCAGGCGGUUCGGAAAGAAAGAUGUGAAAUCCCAGAGCUCAACUUAGGAACUGCAUUUUUAACUACCGGGCUAGAGUGUGUCAGAGGGAGGUGGAAUUCCGCGUGUAGCAGUGAAAUGCGUAGAUAUGCGGAGGAACACCGAUGGCGAAGGCAGCAUACUGGGAUAACACUGACGCUCAUGCACGAAAGCGUGGGGAGCAAACAGG
RNAcentral lists this ribosomal RNA (429 nucleotides) under Acidobacteriota bacterium. Its description in RNAcentral is "Acidobacteria bacterium partial 16S ribosomal RNA". It matches the Rfam family "Bacterial small subunit ribosomal RNA", at positions 355 to 776 of the family's 1533-position model. Lineage: Bacteria; Pseudomonadati; Acidobacteriota. The record is from RNAcentral.